Molecule: ribosomal RNA, 443 nt
Filed under: uncultured bacterium
Lineage: Bacteria
Description: SSU rRNA
Rfam family: Bacterial small subunit ribosomal RNA
Source: RNAcentral
AGAACGAACGCUGGCGGCAGGCCUAACACAUGCAAGUCGAGCGCCCAGCAAUGGGAGCGGCGGACGGGUGAGUAACACGUGGGAAUGUACCUUUCGGUACGGAACAACGCAGGGAAACUUGCGCUAAUACCGUAUACGCUCUUACGGGGAAAGAUUUAUCGCCGAAAGAUCAGCCCGCGUUGGAUUAGCUAGUUGGUGGGGUAACGGCCUACCAAGGCAACGAUCCAUAGCUGGUUUGAGAGAACGAUCAGCCACACUGGGACUGAGACACGGCCCAGACUCCUACGGGAGGCAGCAGUGGGGAAUCUUGGACAAUGGGGGAAACCCUGAUCCAGCCAUGCCGCGUGAGUGAUGAAGGCCUUCGGGUUGUAAAGCUCUUUCGCACGCGACGAUAAUGACGGUAGCGUGAGAAGAAGCCCGGCUAACUUCGCGCCAGCAGCCGC